UCCGGAUCCGUNCGACAGAGUUUGAUCUGGCUCAGGACGAACGCUGGCGGCGUGCUUUACACAUGCAAGUCGAACGAUGAUGCCCAGCUUGCUGGGUUGAUUAGUGGCGAACGGGUGAGUAACACGUGAGUAACCUGCCCCUGACUUCGGGAUAAGCGCUGGAAACGGCGUCUAAUACCGGAUACGAGCUUUCACCGCAUGGUGGUUGUUGGAAAGUUUUUCGGUCAGGGAUGGGCUCGCGGCCUAUCAGCUUGUUGGUGGGGUGAUGGCCUACCAAGGCGACGACGGGUAGCCGGCCUGAGAGGGCGACCGGCCACACUGGGACUGAGACACGGCCCAGACUCCUACGGGAGGCAGCAGUGGGGAAUAUUGCACAAUGGGCGAAAGCCUGAUGCAGCGACGCCGCGUGANUGAUGAAGGCCUUAGGGUUGUAAAGCUCUUUUGUCCGGGACGAUAAUGACGGUACCGGAAGAAUAAGCCCCGGCUAACUUCGUGCCAGCAGCCGCGGUAAUAGGAAGGGGGCUAGCGUUGCUCGGAAUCNCUGGGCGUAAAGGGCGCGUAGGCGGCCGAUUAAGUCGGGGGUGAAAGCCUGUGGCUCAACCACAGAAUUGCCUUCGAUACUGGUUGGCUUGAGACCGGAAGAGGACAGCGGAACUGCGAGUGUAGAGGUGAAAUUCGUAGAUAUUCGCAAGAACACCAGUGGCGAAGGCGGCUGUCUGGUCCGGUUCUGACGCUGAGGCGCGAAAGCGUGGGGAGCAAACAGGAUUAGAUACCCUGGUAGUCCACNCCGUAAACGAUGAAUGCCAGCCGUUGGUCUGCUUGCAGGUCAGUGGCGCCGCUAACGCAUUAAGCAUUCCGCCUGGGGAGUACGGUCGCAAGAUUAAAACUCNAANGAAUUGAAACUUCNAANGGAAAUUNNACNGGGGGGNCCNNCCCCAAGGGGGNNGGAAGCAUNUGGGUUUAAAUUUCGAAAGCAANGNGGAANAANCUUACCNAGGUCUUGAACAUCCUCUGGACAANNUUUAGAGAUAGAGCGUUUCCCCUUCGGGGGGACAGAGUGACAGGUGGUGCAUGGUUGUCGUCAGCUCGUGUCGUGAGAUGUUGGGUUAAGUCCCGCAACGAGCGCAACCCUUGAUCUUAGUUGCCAGCAUUUAGUUGGGCACUCUAAGGUGACUGCCGGUGACAAACCGGAGGAAGGUGGGGAUGACGUCNCANUUCUCANGCCCCNCCUUANCNUNGGNNUCACCCGUGCUACAAUGGAUGGUACAAAGGGCUGCAAGACCGCGAGGUCAAGCCAAUCCCAGUAAAACCAUUCUCAGUUCGGAUUGUAGGCUGCAACUCGCCUACAUGAAGCUGGAAUCGCUANGGNAAGCGGAUCAGCNUGCCGCGG
Molecule: ribosomal RNA, 1390 nt
Filed under: Methylorubrum aminovorans
Lineage: Bacteria; Pseudomonadati; Pseudomonadota; Alphaproteobacteria; Hyphomicrobiales; Methylobacteriaceae
Description: partial 16S ribosomal RNA
Rfam family: Bacterial small subunit ribosomal RNA
Source: RNAcentral